This 368-nucleotide ribosomal RNA is filed under the name uncultured bacterium. RNAcentral's name for it is "bacterial SSU rRNA". It matches the Rfam family "Bacterial small subunit ribosomal RNA", at positions 30 to 402 of the family's 1533-position model. The record is from RNAcentral.
AUUGAACGCUGGCGGCAUGCUUUACACAUGCAAGUCGAGCGGGGUGAGGGGGCAACUCCUCAUUCAGCGGCGGACGGGUGAGUAAUGCAUCGGAACGUAUCCUGUAGUGGGGGACAACCCAGCGAAAGCUGGGCUAAUACCGCAUAUGCUCGGGAGAGGAAAGUGGGGGACCUGCAAGGGCCUCACGCUAUAGGAGCGGCCGAUGUCCGAUUAGCAGUUGGUGGGUAAAGGCCUACCAAGGCGACGAUCGGUAGCUGGUCUGAGAGGAUGAUCAGCCACACUGGGACUGAGACACGGCCCAGACUCCUACGGGAGGCAGCAGUGGGAAUUUUGGACAAUGGGGCAACCCUGAUCCAGCCAUGCCGCGU